Molecule: unclassified non-coding RNA, 1654 nt
Filed under: Pomacea canaliculata
Lineage: Eukaryota; Metazoa; Mollusca; Gastropoda; Architaenioglossa; Ampullariidae
Description: low-density lipoprotein receptor-related protein 4- like, transcript variant X4
Source: RNAcentral
CAAACCAAUGACAUUCAUCUCUCAAGUCUAGAUGAGGAAGAUGUUCAAAGGAGGAAGAAAAUUAACUGGGGAACAUUGUCUCUUGUUAACUUGUUAAUUAGAGAAGCAGAACUGAUUACAGAGAGGAGUGUAGCUAAACUAUUCUCGCCAGAUUCUUGUGAAUCAAACAGAGCUAAAAUCGGUGUCAAAGAUCGGAGAAAUUACAAUAGGAGUGGUCGCGAGGACUAUGCAGCUUCUUGUGUGUUUGUUUACACUCGUGAUUCAGCACCACCUACAGAAAACACAAGCCUGUGGCGGUGUUUACACCUCACCCAGUGGCUCCAUCUCGUCCCCGCUGUACCCCAGUCAGUACCCACCUAAUGAAGACUGUAUCCACAUCAUCAACACAACACAGGGCCAUCGCAUUACCUUGACUUUCGUUACAUUUGAAAUUGAGGCUGCACCCGAUGACUGCAAGUUGGACUAUUUGCAGAUCCGGGAUGGAAGCUCCGAGCUGUCACCGUCUAUGGGUAUCUUCUGUAACACGAGUGUUCCGGACAGAGUGAGGUCCACGUCUAACACCAUGUGGAUCAGAUUCCGGUCUGGCUCACAGUCAGGCACUGGCUUCAAUGCAACUUACUCAUCAGCAAUCAUUCCACACAAGUUUCUCCUUGUCACUGACACUGAUAACGGCAUCCGUCGCAUAGACAUCGACACGGGAAGUAAUGUUACAAUCCGUCCUGAUGGUCUACAGGACCCAUUUGGUAUUGACUACGAUCCAGUAGACGGUCGUGUCUAUUGGUCAAAUCAACAGGACGGGACCAUUCGAUCCGCUAACCUUGAUGGCAGCGAUGCUCGGCUGGUUCACAAUAUAAGUCAAGGAGGUUUUCUAUCGGGCCUUUCGUUGGACUCUGUGUCGAGGCUACUAUUCUACGCCGACCCUAGGAACAAGGUCAUCGGAAUGAUAUCACUGGACAACAACAGUCAUCAUAUUGUCGUCGAUUCAGACAUUGGUUAUCCUAUAGACGUCGAGCUGGACAAACACAAUUGUGUCAUCUACUGGAGUGACUACAGCAGCAAUAAAAUAGAGAGGUGUAACUAUGACGGCUCGGACCGUCAGACAUUUAUUUCCUCCAUCGCGCAUCUUAAAAAUCCAACUGGUCUUGCUUUGGACACAGAAGGGAGGAGACUUUACUGGGCAGAUGUAGGUACACAGCUGAUAGGAUGGACGGAUCUGGACGACAGAAAUACUGGAGUUUAUUUACAGCAGGGCUCGUAUUUUACGGGCCUGGAUAUCUACAACACUGACUUGUUUGUCGCGGACUGGGAACCUGAACAAGCGUAUGCAGAAACAACACACAUCUAUCGCAUUGGCAAAAAUGGAAGAAUAAGGGAGACUGUACAAGUUAAAGGGAGAGUAAACGAUGUUCGGGUCUAUGCGGAAGAAAGAAUACAUAAAGAAGCUGCGUCAGUGUAUACUGCUCCUUACAGAAAACAUUUGUGUACAGCAAUAGCUUUGUUAACCAAGUAGAUGGGAUCAUCGCAGACAGUCCAUCAACUUCAUUUGCCUCAUCAAAUUCUGUUGAGCUGGUGGAAAACAAAGUGGCAGACAGUUCACAAAGGGAGCCUACAAAGGAUGUCAACAGACAGGAAUGCUUAUAAUGACCUUAUGACC